AUGAUCCAGGUCCAUGAUGGUCAUUCAGUUAUAUUCUGCCAGCAUCACUGUAUAGACAACCUCAGCAUUCAGCAGCUUGCUCCAGACCUUGUGGUGCUUGUCAAGAUGAAAGGCCUUCCUUUAAGAAAGGGAUGGACAAAUCACACAUCAAGCCAGGAAGGACAAAAACUACCACCCAGCAUCAUCAACGGCCUUCUUGGGCUUGAUAAGGCUGCAAGCAAAACUAAAGGGCACAUAUCACAUAUGUUUGAGUUGCGGCUUGGCUCGCUCAUGAAACAUGAUGUGGCAUGUGGCAGAGGAGGAACUUACGUGUAUCACUCCUCUUCUCAUGCUUCAAUGGGAUGUGGAAGAGAAUCUCUUGUGAGCUGGUCCCAACUCUCCUCCCCUUCUCAUUUGAAAUGCCAGAAAGACCACAUGCGCGCGAACAGGGCCGCCCGCGGCGUACAGGACAACGGACGCGCUCGCGCACGCGGACACGCCACGGCCGAGCCGCCCUGCCAAACUAACCCAUUUGGAGAUGCCGACGCGACGGCGCAAGACCAUCCAUUCCCCGCUCACCUUUUCCCCUCGCCCUACGGCCAAAUUGGGCUAGGCUGCCACGUCGAAUUUCGGCCACGCUCUGGCCUCCUCGUUCCUCCUAAGGCAAAGCUAGCCCUCUUCGCUACGCCGGUCCACGCCACCCUAUGGCGGCUUGUCUUGUUGGCCAUUGCACCGGGAAGAGCCUGUGGCGCUUGGAGCGCGCAGCGCAUGCUGCUCCCCCGCCAGCGCGUCGACUUCAUCCGGCUGUGUCCCGGCGUCGCCGCCGCGGCGACGGUACGGUUCGGCGCUCGCCGCGCCCUCGGGAGCAGAGUGAUCCUCUGCCUCGCGUCGGGAGGCGGUCGUCCGCGGGACGACGACGGCGAGUUCGAGCCCGCGGACUCGCCGUUGGAUUCGGACGGGCGGAAGGUCGACGAGGGCAUGGCCACGCUGUGGCGGCGCAUCCGCGAGGUGGAGGCGGCAUCAGCAGACGAGGAGGACGAGGAAGAUCCAGAGUACGAGGGUGGCGUCGACGUCUUCGCGCCCCCGGCUGAGUGGACGGAGCUGGAGCGUCGGCAUUACGUGCUGUACGUUGCCGCCCUGCGCGAGGCACUCGGCGCCCUGUUCGCAUUGCUGGCGCGCGAGCGGCCGGCGUUCGGCGCGGCGGUCGUGGCGCUGGUGCUGCUCAGCGUGCCGGCCUCGGUGCCCCACGUCUCCGCGGAGCUGAUCCGGGCCGUGUACUCCAUCUUGGCCGCCGUGCACAACGGUACAAUAUAG
Molecule: ribosomal RNA, 1293 nt
Filed under: Triticum aestivum (bread wheat)
Lineage: Eukaryota; Viridiplantae; Streptophyta; Magnoliopsida; Poales; Poaceae
Description: partial small subunit ribosomal RNA
Source: RNAcentral